CGGGCUAUAGCGAAGUUGGUAUCGCGCCUCGUUCGGGACGAGGAGGCCGUGGGUUCGAGUCCCACUAGCCCGA
RNAcentral lists this transfer RNA (73 nucleotides) under Candidatus Uhrbacteria bacterium. Its description in RNAcentral is "tRNA-Pro". It matches the Rfam family "tRNA". From Rfam's summary of the family: Transfer RNA (tRNA) molecules are approximately 80 nucleotides in length. Their secondary structure includes four short double-helical elements and three loops (D, anti-codon, and T loops). Lineage: Bacteria; Candidatus Uhriibacteriota. The record is from RNAcentral.